AGAGUUUGAUUAUGGCCUCAGGAUGAACGCUGGCGGCGUGCCUAACACAUGCAAGUCGAGCGAUUCUCUCGGAGAAGAGCGGCGGACGGGUGAGUAACGCGUGGGUAACCUGCCCUGUACACACGGAUAACAUACCGAAAGGUAUGGCUAAUACGGGAUAAUAUGUUUUUGAUCGCAUGGUCGAAAUAUCAAAGCUCCGGGCGGUACAGGAUGGACCCGCGUCUGAUUAGCUAGUUGGUGAGGUAAUGGCUCACCAAGGCGACGAUCAGUAGCCGACCUGAGAGGGUGAUCGGCCACAUUGGAACUGAGACACGGUCCAAACUCCUACGGGAGGCAGCAGUGGGGAAUAUUGCACAAUGGGCGAAAGCCUGAUGCAAGCAACGCCGCGUGAGCGAUGAAGGCCUUCGGGUCGUAAAGCUCUGUCCUCAAGGAAGAUAAUGACGGUACUUGAGGAGGAAGCCCCGGCUAACUACGUGCCAGCCGCUGC
RNAcentral lists this ribosomal RNA (487 nucleotides) under uncultured bacterium. RNAcentral describes it as "bacterial SSU rRNA". It matches the Rfam family "Bacterial small subunit ribosomal RNA", at positions 8 to 518 of the family's 1533-position model. The record is from RNAcentral.